UUCAUGCUAACGAGACAUUGCAAAUGAUCUUUAAUUUGGUGCAACAUAACUCCCGACAAGCAUCGACGUCUGCCAUUGGCGCGAGCAAGAACCCUAAUCCUCCUUCGUCAGCCACUACCGCAAGCAAGAACCUUGAUCCUUCACCUACGGGUUGACGGUAAGUUUUGCCUAGUGCUUUUCUUAAUUAGCUCCAAAAUGACCUAUUUAACCUAGGAUAGCUUUAAAAUGACCUAUACUUAGCAUUUUUUCCUCCAAAAUGACUUAAUAUGCUUAGCUAGCUCAAAAAUGACCUAUUUAACCUAGGAUAGCUCUAAAAUGACCUAUACUUAGCAUUUUUUCCUCUAAAUGACUUAAUAUGCUUAGCUAGCUCUAAAAUGACUUAUGAAAUGACAUAUUUUAGCUCCGAAAUGACUUCAUAUGCUUAGUUAGCUCCAAAAUGACAUAAUAAACUUAUUAGUUCCAAAAUGACCUUACUUAGCAUUUUUUACACCAAAAUGACUUAGUAUGCUUAGUUAGCUCAAAAAUGACAUAAUAACCAUACUUAGCUCCAAAAUGACCUAUUUUACACAUAUAAGUUGCAUCAUAAUAAUCUUCACAUUUUAGUUGCAUCAUAAUAAUCUUCUUCUUCUAGUCUUUCUAACUUUCUUCUUUCCCAUUUUGUAGAUUUGCUUCAGAUCACAGAAGCUUGGGUUGAUGGAGUGCUUGUCUUUA
RNAcentral lists this long non-coding RNA (711 nucleotides) under Triticum aestivum (bread wheat). Its description in RNAcentral is "long non-coding RNA (TAES_LNC016240)". Lineage: Eukaryota; Viridiplantae; Streptophyta; Magnoliopsida; Poales; Poaceae. The record is from RNAcentral.